UGGAUAACCUGCCCUCGGCACCGGAAUAGCCCGGGGAAACCCGGAUUAAUGCCGGAUAGCCCCACAGCCCGCAGGGGCGGUGGGAAAAGGUAGCUUCGGCCUCUGGCCGAGGAUGGGUCCGCGGCGGAUUAGCUAGUUGGUGGGGUAACGGCCCACCAAGGCGACGAUCCGUAGCUGGUCUGAGAGGACGAACAGCCACACUGGGACUGAGACACGGCCCAGACUCCUACGGGAGGCAG
Molecule: ribosomal RNA, 239 nt
Filed under: uncultured bacterium
Lineage: Bacteria
Description: partial 16S ribosomal RNA
Rfam family: Bacterial small subunit ribosomal RNA
Source: RNAcentral